GUGCCAGCCGCCGCGGUAAUACGGAGGGUGCAAGCGUUAUCCGGAUUCACUGGGUUUAAAGGGUGCGUAGGUGGGCUGGUAAGUCCGUGGUGAAAUCCCCGAGCUUAACUCGGGAACUGCCAUGGAUACUAUCAGUCUUGAAUACUGUGGAGGUAAGCGGAAUAUGUCAUGUAGCGGUGAAAUGCUUAGAUAUGACAUAGAACACCGAUAGCGGAGGCAGCUUGCUACACAGUCAUUGACACUGAGGCACGAAAGCGUGGGGAUCAAACAGGAUUAGAAACCCGCGUAGUCC
This 292-nucleotide ribosomal RNA is filed under the name uncultured bacterium. Its description in RNAcentral is "partial 16S ribosomal RNA". It matches the Rfam family "Bacterial small subunit ribosomal RNA", at positions 505 to 796 of the family's 1533-position model. The record is from RNAcentral.